GUAGGAGCCGGCUUGCUGGCGAUGGCGGCCGAACAGUCGCUGAAGAUGUGACUGUUCGAUGGCUAUCGCCAGCAAGCCGGCGCCUAC
Molecule: unclassified non-coding RNA, 87 nt
Filed under: Pseudomonas migulae
Lineage: Bacteria; Pseudomonadati; Pseudomonadota; Gammaproteobacteria; Pseudomonadales; Pseudomonadaceae
Source: RNAcentral